UCCCUAGUGGUCCUGUAGUUAGGACUGUACUCUUACUGCUGAGGGCCCAGGUUCAAUUCCUGGUUCGGGAA
Molecule: transfer RNA, 71 nt
Filed under: Ovis aries (sheep)
Lineage: Eukaryota; Metazoa; Chordata; Mammalia; Artiodactyla; Bovidae
Rfam family: tRNA
About the family: Transfer RNA (tRNA) molecules are approximately 80 nucleotides in length.
Source: Rfam by way of RNAcentral